AACGUAGGAGGCGAGCGUUAUCCGGAUUUACUGGGUGUAAAGCGUGUGCAGGCGGACCGGCAAGUUGGAUGUGAAAGCUCCUGGCUUAACUGGGAGAGGUCGUUCAAAACUGCCGGACUUGAGUAUGGGAGAGGGAGGCGGAAUUCCGGGUGUAGUGGUGAAAUGCGUAGAUAUCCGGAGGAACACCAGUGGCGAAAGCGGCCUCCUGGCCCAAAACUGACGCUCAGACACGAAAGCUAGGGGAGCGAACGGG
This 253-nucleotide ribosomal RNA is filed under the name uncultured bacterium. RNAcentral describes it as "partial 16S ribosomal RNA". It matches the Rfam family "Bacterial small subunit ribosomal RNA", at positions 524 to 776 of the family's 1533-position model. The record is from RNAcentral.